This is a non-coding RNA of Pelobates cultripes (western spadefoot toad), 1109 nucleotides long. NCBI's taxonomy places the organism in Eukaryota, Metazoa, Chordata, Amphibia, Anura, Pelobatidae. The record is from the annotation of a GenBank genome assembly.
GAAUGAAAGUGCUUUGUAGUUAAUUUCCCUCUCUGUUACACUGUGACAUAGGAAUCCUUUUCAAAGUGAGAGAGAGAGAGAGCCAGCUUCCCCACUGCCCUUGGCCGGCAAAGAAUAUCAUGUCUCAAUCGGUACCUCUCACCCCUCCAUACAUAUACAAUUACCAAGGACCUUAGCGAUUUGAAGAAUUCAUGUGAAAGAAUAAAUGGUAUUAAAUUGGAUCAGUGGUAACCCACAUUCCUAAUUUUUUCAUCUGAUCUCUGCACCAGUAGAAGGAGAAUUGCAUCUUUAGUACAGUUAUAAUCAAAAUUGUUCAAUCCCCAUUGAAAAUCAGGUUUAUUGUCAAUUUGUACAGACUUUCAGCUGUUUGCAAUGAACAAAUCAGACUUAAUAGCUCAACAAAAUGAGUGCUUCAAGUGGUUUGCCAAAUUCAACUGAAAAUGAUAUUGACUUCUCUUGUCUCAAAAUUAUUCAACCCCUUCAUGGCAAGUAUCGUUAGUACUUAACAGAGCACCCUUUUGCUGUUAUCACCUGCUCUAAACAAGAUGCAUAGCCAGACACCAGCCUUGGCAGCGUUCCUGAUAAAUCUCACAAGCAAUAGCCUCCAGUUCAGUAAUAUUCUUGGGUUUUCGUGCUGCAAUAGCCUUCUUCAAAUCCCACCAGAGAUUUUCUGUGGGAUUUAAGUGAGGUGAUUGUGAUGGCCAUUGUAGAGUUUUCCAGGACUACUUCUGCAACCAAUCCUUGCUGUAAUUUGAGGUAUGCUUGGAUCAUUGUCUUUUUGGAAGGCACAAUGACGCUCAAGUUUUAGCUUCCUCACCGAUGACAUGACGUUUUCUCCUAGAAUUUCUUGAUACUUCAAUGAAUCCAUCCUGCCUUCCACACGCUGCAGGUUUCCAUUGCCAGUGGAUGCAAAGCAGCAUCACACAGCAUCUCCACAGCAUCACCACCAUGCUUAACAGUAGGAAGAGUAUUGCUUCAUUACUCUUCCUCCAGACAUACCGCUGAUCCAUUGGGCUGAAAAGUUCCAGUGUAGUUUUAUCGCUCCACAGAACAAAAUCCCCAAACUUCUAUGGCUUAGUUAUAUGAAUUUUGAGCAUAUUGGAGUCCAC